RNAcentral lists this long non-coding RNA (1436 nucleotides) under Homo sapiens (human). RNAcentral describes it as "HSALNT0370224". The record is from RNAcentral. Lineage: Eukaryota; Metazoa; Chordata; Mammalia; Primates; Hominidae.
UGUGAGCCACUGUACUCAUUCCUAUCUGUGGUUUUAAUAUCAGGGAAAUACUAUCUUCAUAAAAUGAAUUGGAAAGUGUUCCCUCCUCUUCUAUUUUCUGAAAGAGAAUGUAGAGAGAUGGUGUGAAUUCCUCUUUAAACAUUUGGUAGAAUUCUUCAGUGAAACCAUCUGGAUCUGGAGACUUCUUUUUUGGGAGUUUUAAAAUUGCAAAUUCGAUUUCCUUAACAGUUGUAGGCAUACUCAAAUUAUCUAGUUCACAUUGGGUGAGUUGUAGUCAUUUGUAUUUUUCAAGGAAUCGGUCCUUUUUAACUAAGUUGUCAAAUGAAUGUGUGUUCUCACUAGCUUUAAAAAAUUCUCUUCCCUCCAUUAGUUUCUCUCACAUUGAAAUGAGAUGCUGAUUCCUCCACAUGCCUUCCCUCCCUCCAGAUCAAUGACAAAACGCAUUCUCCUGUGCCCUAAUCCAGGACAGCAUUCUUGACAGGCAGAGCCCAGGAUGGGGCAGUCCCGAUGUAAACCCACAGUUUCGAGGAACCAGUUGGCCUUGGACCUCUCUGAAGAGCUCUGGAACCAGAAGGGGCUGGCGGUCCUCUAAGUCACCUUAGCCUACCUGGAGAGACCUCCGAGGCGGGAGAUGCAUAAUCAAAUAUAUAAGUAAAAAUUGACAUUUCCUUUGAGAACUACUUGGACAGUGACCUGAACAUCUCAAGAAAAACCUUGGUGGAAUUGCAUGAACCUGAUUUGGGUCAAAAUUAAGCACCACGCUGAAAAUCAUGCCUUUGUGAAAUGACAAAUUGAAAGUGUUCAGAAAUUGCAUUUGAACUAGUUGAGAUCCUGAUACAGCAGCCAGAAGUGACUAAGGCGACAGUCUUCAGGACACAGAGAAGCUGCUCCUUGUGAUGAAAGCCACUCUUCAAUGAGCUUUGUGCAGGCUGGUGAUCCACGUGGUCCUACCCCCCCUCCACCUGCCCCACCGUGUGUCUCUGUGGCAAACAACUCACAAGUGCAACAGUGGCCUGGCAGACUGAAAACACACUGACCUACAGGCCACUGCUAUUGGUAAGGUAAGAGGCUAUUUUAAAUGGCAAUUGGAAUCUCAAAGAGUGGAAAGCUUUUGUUAAAAAUCCACCCUCAGGCACAGGAAGCAAGAUCUAGUAGCAGAACUUAUUGGCCAGAAAAGGGAAGGCCACACAGGUAGUGAGAACCUAAUAAUGCCUGUAAAAUUUCAGUGAGUAAAUUGCCAGGACAAGAUGCAGUAUGAGGGAUUGGAAAGGUUUCACUCUCAGGGAAUACAAUAUCAAUCAAUGUAUUGAUGGGAUGUCGCAUGAUGCUGAAGAGGUUCAUGCAAUAAACUGAAAAGCAGUAUCUUCUCUGUCUAGGUUGAUGUGUCAACAGAUUUUGCCAAUACACGUCUUAGUAUUUGUAAGGCUUAUAAAUGA